GCUAUUGCUAUUGCUAUGGCAUCCCAUUUAGGCUCUUUUUUCACCCCAAGUGCAUGCACAGAAGGCUGAGCGCAUGCGCGGAGGUGGGCUCACAUAUGCAAAACGGUAGGGAAUACAAGUGAAUACCACCCCUGUUCAUGCCACGGAGAUGGGGACAACCAUAGUUGUAGCAUUGGAAAAUUUGCUAUGAUAAACAGGAUGGAUUGUAACUUGGAAUGUCAGGGUCGCAAAUUCCCCAGAAAAAAAGCAAAAACCCCCCCAACAACUCUUUUUUGUUAUUUGGCAAAAAAUUGAAUCGAGAUAUAAUACCUUUGUAAGAAAAGAGAUAGGCAGAAAGUAUUUAGACAACAAAACAUUGGGUUUGGAAUAUAUUUCUGCCAAUCACAAAAAUAAGAUUAAUGUAGUUUUAUACAUAAUUCUUCAGUUAUAACUACAACUCUUACUAGCGGAUGGCCAAGGCAGAUAUGUUCAAAUUGAACUACAAGGAAUAAAAUUCAUUGUUAUUGGUUUAUAUCACCCAUAUCAAGAAAAGGCUAAUUUUUCUAAACAUUUACUCUGAACAGUUAUUUUCUUUUUCUUGGUACAUUGGUACAUUCUUGGAGAUUGGAAUUGGUAGCAACCCUAUAAUUGGACAUAUUUGUGCUUAAAGUAAUGCAAGGAAAACUACUCCAAAUAUUUUUUAGUUGACAGAUUUUCUAGGUAUACUUAAUGUAUGGAGGUACAAAAAUGGACUCACAAAAGACUAUAUCUUUUUUCCCAGAUAGACAAAUCUUUGACAUGAUAUGGACUACCAAAAAUUUGGCUCAUAAGAUAAUUGAAAUGGACAUUCUUCCAAAAUCUUUUUCAGAUCACAAUCCAGUGACAGUACAUUUUAAAUUCAGAUUGCAGUCUUUUAAGUGGAGGUUAAAUGAAUCCAUCUUGCAAAGACCACAAAUUGUCAAAGGAUGUAAAAAGUAUUUCAAGAUUAUUUUAAUAAUAUGGGUAAGGGACCCAACUUGACCACAGUUUGGGAGGCCUAUAAAACUGUGAUAAGAGAUUACUUGAUACAAUAUGAUACAUGGAUUGAGAAGAAAUCAGCUGGAAAAAUCCAAAAUGUUUUAGAUGAGAUUAAAGGGGGGGGAUUAAAAAUCAUUGGAAAAUCAAAACAUAUUUAAUCAAUUAAAAUUAUUGCAACAACAAAUUUCUAUGUUAACAAUUUCACACAUGAAAAGGAAAUUGAAAUAUACAAAGCAGAUUUUUUAAACAUGCAAAUAAAGGGAGAUGGCUGUACAAAUUAAGAAAACAAACUGAAAAGAAAAUAACUAAAAUUUGUGAAGGAAAUAAGACUCACACGGAUAAUAAAAAUAUCCAAAGACUUUUUGGGAAUUAAUUUAUAGGAGGAGCAAGAAGUUUCAUUGGAACAAAUGAAUGACUAUGUACAAAAUCAAAAUUUACCCAAAUUAUUGGAAGAACAAAAGAAAAUUAUGAACAGUCCAGUAACAACCUUUGAAAUAACAGAAGCAAAUUAAACAGCUAAGAUACUUAAAGCACUGAGACCAGAUGGUUUACUGAGUGGGUUUUUAAAAAAUGUUUGAAGAUCAAUUAUUAUUUUCAAUGAAAGAUUUAAUGAAUUCUAUUUUACAAAGUCAGUCUAUGCUUGAUUCAUGGAAAGAAGUCUACAUUGUUCUCAUGCUCAAGGAAGGGCAAGACUUAACUCUUACCAUAUAUUAUAGUCUUCUUAAUGACUACAAACUUUUUACAUCCAUCCUAACUGAAAGACUAAAAAAUGUUUUACAAGUUGAUGUCCAUGAAGAUCAUCGGUGUGAUUUAUUACCUAAAAGACAACUAAAGGACAAUGUGAGAAUCAUCUAAGAUAUAACUGAAUAUUUACAACAAUGCAAG
Molecule: long non-coding RNA, 1881 nt
Organism: Thamnophis elegans (Western terrestrial garter snake)
Lineage: Eukaryota; Metazoa; Chordata; Lepidosauria; Squamata; Natricidae
Exons: 2
Source: RefSeq, a predicted model, not a curated record